This is a long non-coding RNA of Phacochoerus africanus (Common warthog), 2805 nucleotides long. RefSeq lists it as uncharacterized. NCBI's taxonomy places the organism in Eukaryota, Metazoa, Chordata, Mammalia, Artiodactyla, Suidae. The transcript has 2 exons. The record is from RefSeq and is a predicted model, not a curated record.
CGGCCCAAGAAAUGGCAAAAAGACAAAAAAAAAAAAAAAGAAUGGAAAAGGGGAGAAGCCUCCCCUUUAUCACCCUUUAUCACUUUCCCCAUUUAAGGCUUGGGUUUGAGGAGUCUCAUUUUCCUGGGCUAGAGUAACUGGAAAUUCCAAGUACUUGUGGCUUGCUCUGAUCUGUGUCCAGGUGGGAUGGCUGCUCUUUGGAAAUGGCAGAUGGGCAGGAGGGGCCUGGGUCAAAGUUCUGGGAAACUAUCCACAAUCACAGAGUAUCACCUCAAAUGAAAGGUUGUCACCAGAUCUCAUGUUACAGGGGGACCUUCAAAGCCCUGGACCCCUCCUUCUGUCACAUACACAUACACUGCCCCUCUUCUCUAAGGACAGUGCCAAAAUCAAGGGCAAAGACCCAGAAUGACCUUUACGGACUGCCUCAUCCCACAGUGCAGCAGGGUUCCUGCUCACUCUGACCCUUGCUUCUCCUACUUGUCCAUGGCGGGAGGAUGUCCUGCAGGGGGAUGGGAGCAGAUCAGAGUGGGGCUGGUGAGUAUGGCUGUGCCAGGGUCAGGGGUUUAGUGUCAGUAGGAGAUGGUGGCAGCCUGGGUCAGCAGAAGGAAGCAGCUGGUACAUCAGGAAGUCAGUGUGUUUCAAGCAUGGGAGGGAUGUCAAUGGGACUUCGCUGCCAGGGAGUGGCUGGCUGUCACAGUGGCUGGAAAUUCACGGGCUUUGGCUCUUCUGAAAGUGCCAGGCAGCACAGUCACCAUUUCUCACCAUUUUUAAAGAAAUGACUGCACCCAUGGCAUAUGGAAGUUACCUGGCUAGGAAUCAAAUUUGAGCUGCAGCUGUGACCUAUGCCACAGCUAUGGCAAUGCUGGCUCCUUAACCAAUUUUGCCACAACAGAAACUCCUCACCAUUUUUUAAAUAGUCUAUGAAUGGACUGACCUGUUGGCAGGCACCCUUUCCCUGACAUUUCUGUCUGUAGAGUGCUACCUAGGGAACGCAGCCUGUCCUGUCAGCCUUGACAGUCAUACUGUAGAAGAAGAAAUUUAUAACUUGCCAGACUCCAUAUCAGUUGGGGGCAACUGGCCCAGCAGCAGAAGAGGAAAGAGCACAGAACUAACAGGGGAGGAACACAGAACUAGCAGCAGCAGCGCUGAGUCAUUUCUUCCCUGUGCAAAUACAUGAAAACCAGAGAAUCCUCUUCUGCCCAUUUGGCAAAGGGAACUCCUUCUUGAAGGCAGUGGCAUGACUAAGAUGACCACCAGCAGAUCAGAUCAGGAUCAGAGAAACAGAUCCUACUUCUUGCCUGAGUUUGCAGUCCUCGAGCACAGCAGCCUGCAGCAGUACAGAACUAUGGACAGCAGAGGGAGCUCUUGCCUAACCUUUUCGCCACGUCGAGCCGCUUCCGAGAACCUGAACUUCUGGUAAUUUGCCUCUGAAGUCUGGGUGACUGCAGGGGAGUGCAUGGCUGGAGUAACAAUAGGGAUGACUACGAGCUCGUAACUUCACCGUUAGGUACUCACCCAGAAGAGGAAGUGCCCUCUUGCGAUCUCCCCCACCAACAGUCUACUACCCCUUUCUCAACUGCACUUCAUACUCAGCCACCUGUGGCUUCCAAGGAGAGGUUCUCCUCAGCAGCACCCCUGCUCUUCCUUGCCGUGAUCCUCUCCCAACUGCCAAGAAAGAGAGAUAUCCUCAACCACUUCUCUUGACUCUGGGAAAUCUCCCCGAAGUCUCGUGGAACUGCCAUCCACCCACCUCAGAGGCCAGGAUGAGAGGAGAAGGGGCUCUAAAUGCAUCUGACCCAAACGCACUCCCGAGCGGGAUGUGUCUCUCCGGGACACCUGGCGUCAAAUGCCCUUCUCCGCUUGAGGCCCAGUGUAGUUUUCUCACCUGCAAAUUACUAAGACUCUGAACCCUAAACUUGUGGGUUCUCCCUAUGCACCUUCUCUGUAUCCUGCAGCUUGACCCAGAGGUCUCAUUCCCUCCCCGCUCCCACCCACUGAGUUCAAUCGCAAGCCGGUAUGGAAGGAAGGGAAGACCUAAGAGGUCAAGGGCACGGGAUGCGACCUGCGCAAACGCUAAUCCCCUAGCCGUCUAGGAAAUCGAGAUCUGAUGAGGGGCGCUAGAAACUGUUACGAUCUGGCAGCCACGAAGUGCAGGACGCAGUGUGGCAUGGCGGGCUGGAACUCCUAGAUGAGACCCAGACCCGCCUGCUUCCUCCGCGAAAUAGGGGCGGUGGGGAGAGUUUGCCUUCCUUAAGGGGAGAUGUGAAUCGGAUCAGUAUGGAGGGAGCCUGGACUGGGACCAGUAGAGGUGGUGCUUCCCUUGCCAUCCAGGCCUACCUGCCUGGCUCCAGAGGCCUUAACAGCGUCCUCAGAGGUUGCCAAGCUCCUCCCAGGGGUAGGUGGGCUUGAAAGAAUAUCAGAUCUCCCUUUGGGCCUGCAAAGUCCCCUCAACACCACAGGCCCUCGCUCCCGGUUCUCACCAGCGCUGGAGCGGCGGGGACUCCAAGCCCAGCGCGCUGGGAUGCGGGAGAGUGUGGGCCUGCCGAGUGGGUGGUCCAGUACAAAACGAAUCUAGGAUUCUGGAAGAAAUUGGGAAAGAUAUUGGGUGUCCGCCGCCCCAAGGUCCCCACCCUUUUCAGAAUCUUAGAUACCGAGCGCGGACCGUUGGGGGAGGGGGGAUAGAGCCCGCCACCGAGAGUCCCCGCCCCCUCCCCGAGGCCGGAGGUAUUAGUGCUGCUUGAUCAGACCUCAUUUCCUGCGAAAAUGGAAACAUAUCCAGGGUUCUUAAUAAAGUGAAUGACGAGA